ACAGGCUGUGUGCUGGGCGACAGCAGAAGUCACCUGCACCCCAGGAGCACACACACCACAGCACUGUCAGCUCAGCCUGGACACAAACCGAUGUCAUUCCCCAGCCUCGCAGUGUGGGCUGGCCAGUCCUCACGGGGGUCAGAGUUCAUCCUAGCUGCCCAAAGACCUCACCAUCGACCUGAGCAUUAGAUUUUACGGAGGGGAGUUCACUAGAGCGGGAUCACAGAGCGAGUCCUUGAACUGGGCAUCCAUGCAUUGAAAUUCACUCCUCCCUCUCCCUGUCCAACCCCUACCCUCUGCAAGAAGUCUCUACAGGUUUCUAAGCCGCUCCGCACACCUGAGACCAAGCAGAUUGCUGCAACCAAACGAACUCCGUUGCUCCUAGCAGUGAAUCCCAGAGGUGAGGCUUGAGGCAAGGAUAAGGGAGUGUGAGAAGAGGCCCUUUAUCUGGGAUGAGAAACGUAGGAUUGAAAACAGAGGGUGGUGAUUCAAUUACAUAUCAUACGUUUCCUGUCCAUUACAGACUGAUGUCAGACAGUUCAAAGAUUUUGCUUCUUAAAGCUUCGAUUUCUAUUUGUGGGCUGUUAGUGCUGAGUGAAAUAAAUAUCUUCAGAUUUGA
This is a long non-coding RNA of Panthera uncia (snow leopard), 619 nucleotides long. RefSeq lists it as uncharacterized. The record is from RefSeq and is a predicted model, not a curated record. NCBI's taxonomy places the organism in Eukaryota, Metazoa, Chordata, Mammalia, Carnivora, Felidae. The transcript is spliced from 2 exons.